UACGUAGGAUGCAAGCGUUGUCCGGAAUUAUUGGGCGUAAAGGGCGCGUAGGCGGCUCUGCACGUUCGUUGUGAAAUCGCCCGGCUCAACUGGGCGGGGUCAGCGGAUACGGCAGAGCUUGAGCAAGCUAGGGGGCAAUGGAAUUCCCGGUGUAGUGGUGGAAUGCGUAGAUAUCGGGAGGAACACCAGUGGCGAAGGCGGUUGCCUGGGGCUUUGCUGACGCUGAUGCGCGAAAGCGUGGGGAGCGAUCCGG
RNAcentral lists this ribosomal RNA (253 nucleotides) under uncultured bacterium. RNAcentral describes it as "partial 16S ribosomal RNA". It matches the Rfam family "Bacterial small subunit ribosomal RNA", at positions 524 to 776 of the family's 1533-position model. The record is from RNAcentral.